This 73-nucleotide transfer RNA is filed under the name Felis catus (domestic cat). It matches the Rfam family "tRNA". From Rfam's summary of the family: Transfer RNA (tRNA) molecules are approximately 80 nucleotides in length. Their secondary structure includes four short double-helical elements and three loops (D, anti-codon, and T loops). Lineage: Eukaryota; Metazoa; Chordata; Mammalia; Carnivora; Felidae. The record is from Rfam by way of RNAcentral.
AUCUGGCUGGCUCAUUCAGUAGAGCAUGCGACUCUUGAUCUCGGGAUCGUGGGUUCGAGCCCCACGUUGGGUG